GACGAACGCUGGCGGCGUGCUUAACACAUGCAAGUCGAACGGAACGGCCCUGCUUUUGUGCGCUGCUCGAGUGGCGAACGGGUAAGUAACACGUGAGUACCCUGCCCUUGACUUUGGGAUAUCUUCAUGAAACUUGGGCUAUUCCCGGAUAGGAUCUCCUGCUGCUUGGUGGGGGUUGGAAAGUUUCGGCGGUUGGGGAUGGACUCGCGGCUUAUCAGCUUGUUGGUGGGGUAGUGGAUUACCAAGGCUUGGACGGGUAGCAGGCCUGGGAGGGGAACCGGACAAAUUAGAAUGGAGAUACGGCCCGGACUAGAACGGGAGGCAGGGGAGGGGAAGGGUGCAUAGGGGGAGGAAGCAUAGUGCAGUAACGCAGCGUGGGGGAUGAGGGGAUGGGGGUUGUAAAGCGAAGUCGCCUGUGACGAAACGUGAGUGACGGUAAUGGGUAAAGAAGCACCGGCUAACUACGUG
This 468-nucleotide ribosomal RNA is filed under the name uncultured bacterium. RNAcentral's name for it is "partial 16S ribosomal RNA". It matches the Rfam family "Bacterial small subunit ribosomal RNA", at positions 28 to 507 of the family's 1533-position model. The record is from RNAcentral.